Molecule: unclassified non-coding RNA, 832 nt
Filed under: Hevea brasiliensis (rubber tree)
Lineage: Eukaryota; Viridiplantae; Streptophyta; Magnoliopsida; Malpighiales; Euphorbiaceae
Source: RNAcentral
CAGGCUAAUCCCGGUGGUGGCGCCGGCUCCAGAGCUUGGCAUUGUUCCUUGAGGGGCAUGCGUGGCGGCAGGGGGUGUGACAAACGGUGUCGGAGUUGGAGCAGUGACAGGAGGUGGUUGUUGUGGUUGGAUAUUUGCCCAUGUCGGAGUUGCUGCUGCUGCUACCGGUGCUGGGAGUGCUGGCAUAGGAUUAGACAUUGAUAUCGGUGUGUUGCUGCCACUGCCGCUUCCGAUGGUGAGACCCCCGGGAGAUGUGUGGAGGGCCUCAAGCUGGCUGAAGAAGCGGUAACUCUUGCCGUCCUGCCUGCCGGCCCUGCCCUCCUUGGUGCGCUUGUAGUACUUGUGCACGUUCUCAAAUUUCUCCUUGCAUUUCUUGGCGCUCCUUAUGUAGCCAAGCUCCCCCAAUUUCCUAGAGACAUUCUCCCACAGAGGACCCUUCAGCGAUGCGUCGCGAAACUCAGCAUCCAUCUCCGACCGGAUCUUCAGCAGCGCCAGCGUCUCCUCCCUCGGCCACCUGUUCCCGGGAGUCCCUCCCCUCUCCGCAUCCUCGCCUGCAGCGAGAGCAUCCUCAUCAUGGAAGCUCCCGGCUGCGGCAACGGCCAAUUCCCCGAAGUUCUGUGCCGCCGGAGGCGGCCUACUGCUGAUGGGAGCCGCCGCCUCCGCGUGCCCGGUGGGAAUUCCCGGGAAUUGGGGCCUGGGGUUUGCGGAGGAAGGGAAUGGUGCGAGCUCUGGUUGCGGAGCUGCGCCGCCGUAUUGGGCCCCACCUUGCUGGUGCUGCAUGACUAGUAGCAGUAGGAGUUACUGGCUACAGUAGUAGUAGAGAUGGUUGUAG